GCGUGAGCGAAGAAGGCYUUCGGGUUGUAAAGCUCUUUCACAAGUAAAGAAACGGUAUAGGUUAAUAGCCUAUGCUAAUGACGGUAACUUGAGAAGAAGCACCGGCUAACUACGUGCCAGCAGCCGCGGUAAUACGUAGGGUGCGAGCGUUAAUCGGAAUUACUGGGCGUAAAGCGUGCGCAGGCUGUUUGGCAAGUCAAAUGUGAAAUCCCCGAGCUCAACUUGGGAACUGCGUUUGAAACUGCCAGACUAGAAUAUGUCAGAGGGGGGUAGAAUUCCACGUGUAGCAGUGAAAUGCGUAGAGAUGUGGAGGAAUACCGAUGGCGAAGGCAGCCCCCUGGGAUAAUAUUGACGCUCAUGCACGAAAGCGUGGGGGAGCGAACAGGAUUAGAUACCCUGGUAGUCCACGCCCUAAACGAUGUCU
This 424-nucleotide ribosomal RNA is filed under the name uncultured Methylophilaceae bacterium. Its description in RNAcentral is "bacterial SSU rRNA". It matches the Rfam family "Bacterial small subunit ribosomal RNA", at positions 399 to 814 of the family's 1533-position model. The record is from RNAcentral. Lineage: Bacteria; Pseudomonadati; Pseudomonadota; Betaproteobacteria; Nitrosomonadales; Methylophilaceae.